CCCCCCCCCCCCCCCCCCCCCACUACCACCACUCUCCUCCCUUCCUCCUCACCACCUCCUACACCUCUGGCCUCAAGUACCCAAUUAAAAAAUAUUCAGAAAAAGGAAAAAUAAGACAUGAAACUAACAUCCAUCAUGAUGCUGUUUGCUUGCUUCCUUUCUUGCUAGUGCUUUGUUAGCUUCUCUCUUAUAUCUCCUCCUUUUCUUACAUACUGAAGAGUGUGUUUAGGACUAACCUCCCAAGAUUUUCUCUCAUUACAUUCUUUUCUUAGCAUUAAUUAGUUCUUUUCUUAAUAAUCUCUCCUACUCAGUGUUUUAAGGAGCCCAAGAUUUGCCCAUAUCAUUAUUAGAUUGUUAUACCCUUUUCCUUUCUUUGGUCAGUUUCAGUUGUUGGAUAUUUUUAUACCCUUCUCUCUACAUUAUAUAUAUAUAUAUAUAU
Molecule: unclassified non-coding RNA, 439 nt
Filed under: Hevea brasiliensis (rubber tree)
Lineage: Eukaryota; Viridiplantae; Streptophyta; Magnoliopsida; Malpighiales; Euphorbiaceae
Source: RNAcentral